AUCCAGCUGACGAGUCCCAAAUAGGAGAAAAUGCGCGUUGUUCUGGAU
This 48-nucleotide non-coding RNA is filed under the name Trichobilharzia regenti. The record is from RNAcentral. Lineage: Eukaryota; Metazoa; Platyhelminthes; Trematoda; Strigeidida; Schistosomatidae.